GACGAACGCUGGCGGCGUGCUUAACACAUGCAAGUCGAACGGCGAAGCGCCUUCCUUUUUGGUGGGUGUGGAUGAGUGGCGAACGGUUGAGUAACACGUGAGUAACCUGCCCCCUUCUUCUGGAUAACCGCAUGAAAGUGUGUCUAAUACGGGAUAUUCUGGGUCUGUCGCAUGAUGGGUCUGUGAAAGAUGUUGUUUCGGUGGGGGAUGGGCUCGCGGCCUAUCAGCUUGUUGGUGGGGUGAUGGCCUACCAAGGCGGUGGAGGGUAGCCGGCCUGAGAGGGUGGCCGGCCACAGUGGGAGUGAGACACGGGUGGGACUCAGACGGGGGGCAGCAGUGGGGAAUAGUGAACAAUGGGGGAAAGCGUGCAGCAGCGACGCCGCGUGAGGGAUGGCGGCCUGCGGGUUGUGAAGGUCUUUGGCCAGUGAAGCAGGCCUGCCUCGUUUGUGGGUGGGUUGACGGUAGCUGGAGAAGAAGCGCCGGCUAACUACGUG
This 494-nucleotide ribosomal RNA is filed under the name uncultured bacterium. RNAcentral's name for it is "partial 16S ribosomal RNA". It matches the Rfam family "Bacterial small subunit ribosomal RNA", at positions 28 to 507 of the family's 1533-position model. The record is from RNAcentral.